Molecule: transfer RNA, 76 nt
Filed under: Staphylococcus aureus
Lineage: Bacteria; Bacillati; Bacillota; Bacilli; Caryophanales; Staphylococcaceae
Also listed under: 1 other name
Description: tRNA-Val
Rfam family: tRNA
About the family: Transfer RNA (tRNA) molecules are approximately 80 nucleotides in length. Their secondary structure includes four short double-helical elements and three loops (D, anti-codon, and T loops). Further hydrogen bonds mediate the characteristic L-shaped molecular structure. tRNAs have two regions of fundamental functional importance: the anti-codon, which is responsible for specific mRNA codon recognition, and the 3' end, to which the tRNAs corresponding amino acid is attached (by aminoacyl-tRNA synthetases). tRNAs cope with the degeneracy of the genetic code in two manners: having more than one tRNA (with a specific anti-codon) for a particular amino acid; and 'wobble' base-pairing, i.e. permitting non-standard base-pairing at the 3rd anti-codon position.
Source: RNAcentral
GGAGAAUUAGCUCAGCUGGGAGAGCAUCUGCCUUACAAGCAGAGGGUCGGCGGUUCGAACCCGACAUUCUCCACCA